GGCUAACGAUUUCUUUCCUGUGCACUGCCCUAAGGAUCUGUUCUGUUUCUCCAGGGCAUCUUGGCAAGAGACUUGAAGAUAUUUAAAAUCCCUAAUUAAAGCCAGGCUCACAAGGUCCCUGCUCCAGGCUAGAGCAGCCAGUGGAAGCACCAACACCAGUAUCACAAAGAGAUGAUGGAGUCAAAAUGACUGCUUUGGUUGGAGCUGCAUUUUUCUCUGAAGUCUGUAGAAGCUUGUUACCAUGUUAAAUGCCCAGCUUUCAUUAAAUCCACACCUGAAGGGUAAGUAAAUGAAUCCUGAAUUUCAUAUUUGAAGGUAUGUGUGCUUUU
This 329-nucleotide long non-coding RNA is filed under the name Zonotrichia albicollis (white-throated sparrow). RNAcentral describes it as "lncRNA (ENSZALG00000002621.1)". The record is from RNAcentral. Lineage: Eukaryota; Metazoa; Chordata; Aves; Passeriformes; Passerellidae.